RNAcentral lists this ribosomal RNA (2992 nucleotides) under Salmonella enterica. Its description in RNAcentral is "23S ribosomal RNA". It matches the Rfam family "Bacterial large subunit ribosomal RNA". Lineage: Bacteria; Pseudomonadati; Pseudomonadota; Gammaproteobacteria; Enterobacterales; Enterobacteriaceae. The record is from RNAcentral.
GGUUAAGCGACUAAGCGUACACGGUGGAUGCCCUGGCAGUCAGAGGCGAUGAAGGGCGUGCUAAUCUGCGAUAAGCGCCGGUAAGGUGAUAUGAACCGUUAUAACCGGCGAUACCCAAAUGGGGAAACCCAGUGUGAUUCGUCACACUAUCAUUAACUGAAUCCAUAGGUUAAUGAGGCGAACCGGGGGAACUGAAACAUCUAAGUACCCCGAGGAAAAGAAAUCAACCGAGAUUCCCCCAGUAGCGGCGAGCGAACGGGGAGGAGCCCAGAGCCUGAAUCAGCAUGUGUGUUAGUGGAAGCGUCUGGAAAGGUGCGCGAUACAGGGUGACAGCCCCGUACACAAAAGCGCAUGUGCUGUGAGCUCGAUGAGUAGGGCGGGACACGUGGUAUCCUGUCUGAAUAUGGGGGGACCAUCCUCCAAGGCUAAAUACUCCUGACUGACCGAUAGUGAACCAGUACCGUGAGGGAAAGGCGAAAAGAACCCCGGCGAGGGGAGUGAAAAAGAACCUGAAACCGUGUACGUACAAGCAGUGGGAGCACAGGUUUACCUGUGUGACUGCGUACCUUUUGUAUAAUGGGUCAGCGACUUAUAUUCUGUAGCAAGGUUAACCGAAUAGGGGAGCCGGAGGGAAACCGAGUCUUAAUUGGGCGUUAAGUUGCAGGGUAUAGACCCGAAACCCGGUGAUCUAGCCAUGGGCAGGUUGAAGGUUGGGUAACACUAACUGGAGGACCGAACCGACUAAUGUUGAAAAAUUAGCGGAUGACCUGUGGCUGGGGGUGAAAGGCCAAUCAAACCGGGAGAUAGCUGGUUCUCCCCGAAAGCUAUUUAGGUAGCGCCUCGUGAAUUCAUCUCCGGGGGUAGAGCACUGUUUCGGCUAGGGGGCCAUCCCGGCUUACCAACCCGAUGCAAACUGCGAAUACCGGAGAAUGUUAUCACGGGAGACACACGGCGGGUGCUAACGUCCGUCGUGAAGAGGGAAACAACCCAGACCGCCAGCUAAGGUCCCAAAGUCAUGGUUAAGUGGGAAACGAUGUGGGAAGGCCCAGACAGCCAGGAUGUUGGCUUAGAAGCAGCCAUCAUUUAAAGAAAGCGUAAUAGCUCACUGGUCGAGUCGGCCUGCGCGGAAGAUGUAACGGGGCUAAACCAUGCACCGAAGCUGCGGCAGCGAACGUAUCACCCAAGACAACUUUACGGAGUUGACGAUUGACGGAGCGAAGCGACGUCAAAGCGUUCAUUAAAGUCGAGUUGGCUUAGGGAUACGUUCGUUGGGUAGGGGAGCGUUCUGUAAGCCUGUGAAGGUGUGUCGUGAGGCAUGCUGGAGGUAUCAGAAGUGCGAAUGCUGACAUAAGUAACGAUAAAGCGGGUGAAAAGCCCGCUCGCCGGAAGACCAAGGGUUCCUGUCCAACGUUAAUCGGGGCAGGGUGAGUCGACCCCUAAGGCGAGGCCGAAAGGCGUAGUCGAUGGGAAACGGGUUAAUAUUCCCGUACUUGGUGUUACUGCGAAGGGGGGACGGAGAAGGCUAUGUUGGCCGGGCGACGGUUGUCCCGGUUUAAGCGUGUAGGUGUGUGUUCCAGGUAAAUCCGGUUCACUUUAACACUGAGGCGUGACGACGAGGCACUACGGUGCUGAAGCAACAAAUGCCCUGCUUCCAGGAAAAGCCUCUAAGCAUCAGGUAACAUCAAAUCGUACCCCAAACCGACACAGGUGGUCAGGUAGAGAAUACCAAGGCGCUUGAGAGAACUCGGGUGAAGGAACUAGGCAAAAUGGUGCCGUAACUUCGGGAGAAGGCACGCUGACACGUAGGUGAAGUGAUUUACUCAUGGAGCUGAAGUCAGUCGAAGAUACCAGCUGGCUGCAACUGUUUAUUAAAAACACAGCACUGUGCAAACACGAAAGUGGACGUAUACGGUGUGACGCCUGCCCGGUGCCGGAAGGUUAAUUGAUGGGGUCAGCGCAAGCGAAGCUCCUGAUCGAAGCCCCGGUAAACGGCGGCCGUAACUAUAACGGUCCUAAGGUAGCGAAAUUCCUUGUCGGGUAAGUUCCGACCUGCACGAAUGGCGUAAUGAUGGCCAGGCUGUCUCCACCCGAGACUCAGUGAAAUUGAACUCGCUGUGAAGAUGCAGUGUACCCGCGGCAAGACGGAAAGACCCCGUGAACCUUUACUAUAGCUUGACACUGAACAUUGAGCCUUGAUGUGUAGGAUAGGUGGGAGGCUUUGAAGUGUGGACGCCAGUCUGCAUGGAGCCGACCUUGAAAUACCACCCUUUAAUGUUUGAUGUUCUAACGUGGACCCGUAAUCCGGGUUGCGGACAGUGUCUGGUGGGUAGUUUGACUGGGGCGGUCUCCUCCUAAAGAGUAACGGAGGAGCACGAAGGUUGGCUAAUCCUGGUCGGACAUCAGGAGGUUAGUGCAAUGGCAUAAGCCAGCUUGACUGCGAGCGUGACGGCGCGAGCAGGUGCGAAAGCAGGUCAUAGUGAUCCGGUGGUUCUGAAUGGAAGGGCCAUCGCUCAACGGAUAAAAGGUACUCCGGGGAUAACAGGCUGAUACCGCCCAAGAGUUCAUAUCGACGGCGGUGUUUGGCACCUCGAUGUCGGCUCAUCACAUCCUGGGGCUGAAGUAGGUCCCAAGGGUAUGGCUGUUCGCCAUUUAAAGUGGUACGCGAGCUGGGUUUAGAACGUCGUGAGACAGUUCGGUCCCUAUCUGCCGUGGGCGCUGGAGAACUGAGGGGGGCUGCUCCUAGUACGAGAGGACCGGAGUGGACGCAUCACUGGUGUUCGGGUUGUCAUGCCAAUGGCACUGCCCGGUAGCUAAAUGCGGAAGAGAUAAGUGCUGAAAGCAUCUAAGCACGAAACUUGCCCCGAGAUGAGUUCUCCCUGAGACUUAGAGUCUCCUGAAGGAACGUUGAAGACGACGACGUUGAUAGGCCGGGUGUGUAAGCGCAGCGAUGCGUUGAGCUAACCGGUACUAAUGAACCGUGAGGCUUAACCUU